GACGAACGCUGGCGGCGUGCUUAACACAUGCAAGUCGAACGGAAAGGCCUGCUUUCCCUUGUGGAUUGCGGGUACUCGAGUGGCGAACGGGUGAGUAACACGUGAGUGAUCUGCCCCCAACUUGGGUGUAAGCCUGGGAAACUGGGUCUAAUUCCCGAUAGGACUGCAGGGUGGUGCCUGUGGUGGAAAACGAUUUUCUAGUGGUUGGGGAUGAGCUCGCGGCCUAUCAGCUUGUUGGUGGGGUAAUGGCCUACCAAGGCGGCGACGGGUAGCCGGCCUGAGAGGGUGGACGGCCACAUUGGGACUGAGAUACGGCCCAGACUCCUACGGGAGGCAGCAGUGGGGAAUAUUACACAAUGGGCGGAAGCCUGAUGCAGCGACGCCGCGUGGGGGAUGACGGCCUUCGGGUUGUAAACUCCUUUCGACCGCGAGGAAGCCACCUGGUUGGAAGGGUGGUGACGGUAGUGGUAGAAGAAGCACCGGCUAACUACGUG
RNAcentral lists this ribosomal RNA (494 nucleotides) under uncultured bacterium. RNAcentral's name for it is "partial 16S ribosomal RNA". It matches the Rfam family "Bacterial small subunit ribosomal RNA", at positions 28 to 507 of the family's 1533-position model. The record is from RNAcentral.